UACGGAGGGUGCGAGCGUUGUCCGGAAUCACUGGGCGUAAAGGGCGCGUAGGCGGCGCGGUCAGCCAACGGUGAAAGCUUGGGGCUCAACCCCGAGUCGGCCGUCGAUACUCCCGGGCUGGAGCACUGUAGAGGCAGGUGGAAUUCCGGGUGUAGCGGUGGAAUGCGUAGAGAUCCGGAAGAACACCGGUGGCGAAGGCGGCCUGCUGGGCAGUAGCUGACGCUGAGGCGCGACAGCGUGGGGAGCAAACAGG
Molecule: ribosomal RNA, 253 nt
Filed under: uncultured bacterium
Lineage: Bacteria
Description: partial 16S ribosomal RNA
Rfam family: Bacterial small subunit ribosomal RNA
Source: RNAcentral